UGGUCAAGUUAUUAAGGGUGCAGGGCGGAUGCCUUGGCACUAGGAGCCGAUGAAGGACGUGAUAAGCUGCGAUAAGCUUCGGGGAGUUGCACGUAAACUUUGAUCCGAAGAUUUCCGAAUGAGGAAACUCACUUAGAGUAAUGUCUAAGUAUCAUUAAGUGAAUACAUAGCUUAAUGAGGGGAACUCAGGGAACUGAAACAUCUAAGUACCUGAAGGAAGAGAAAGAAAUUCGAUUCCGUAAGUAGCGGCGAGCGAACGCGGAUUAGCCCAAACCAAUAAAGUUUUCUUUAUUGGGGUUGCGGACAUAUCAUAACGAAGAGGUAUCGUAAUUGAAGAGGUUUGGAAAGACCCACCACAGAAGGUAAUAGUCCUGUAUGUUAAACGAUAAGACUUUAGAUAUGAUCCAGAGUACCACGGGACACGUGAAACCCUGUGGGAAGCAGGAGGGACCACCCUCCAAGGCUAAAUACUACCUAGUGACCGAUAGCGUAUAGUACCGUGAGGGAAAGGUGAAAAGAACCCCGGGAGGGGAGUGAAAUAGAACCUGAAACCCUGCACUUACAAGCUGUGGAAGCACAUUUCUUGUGUGACCGCGUACUUUUUGUAGAACGGGCCAACGAGUUACGUUAAGUAGCAAGGUUAAGCACUUAAGGUGCGGAGCCGUAGCGAAAGCGAGUUUUAACUGAGCGUUCAGUUACUUGACGUAGACCCGAAACCGGGCGACCUACCCAUGAGCAGGAUGAAGCGAAAGUAAAAUUUCGUGGAGGUCCGAACCCACGAGCG
RNAcentral lists this ribosomal RNA (784 nucleotides) under Clostridioides difficile. RNAcentral describes it as "bacterial LSU rRNA". It matches the Rfam family "Bacterial large subunit ribosomal RNA", at positions 1 to 788 of the family's 2925-position model. Lineage: Bacteria; Bacillati; Bacillota; Clostridia; Peptostreptococcales; Peptostreptococcaceae. The record is from RNAcentral.